AAAUUUUGUACCAUACGCGUUAUAUAGCUUUGGUUUUUGAAGAGGGGCAAUACUCACUCUUUAUAAGCGAGACCCGUCUUGCUCUUACCAAAAAGAAUUAAGACUAUAUUUGGGUUUACAAGACCAAGAUCUAUGUACCUAUCUAUGCAAGAACUAUGUUUGCUAGUUCUGCAAGGGACUCGCAAGAUGUGUGAGGUUUGUUAUCUAAAACUGAGCUUAAAACCGAACUUACCAACCAAACCACUUAUUGAUCAGCGGGUGUUAAUUUUCAAUCAAUCAGUCGUUCCGAAACGUAGAUGCCAUUCAAGGAUUUACUUUUAGCAGGCAAUUGGAGCUUAUGAAUGUCUGGAUUAAAAAUAUUGGUCAUUCGGACUUUAAGCAAAUGGAUAGAGGUAGAGUAAGAAACGUAUCGAAUCUGCCGUGCUCAUUUUGAUAUAGACGCUCUUUACAUUGGAGUAAGAAACCGGUUAAAAAUUAACAGCAAUACAAUUCCAAUAUUGUUUCUUGGCAAAAGUAGUAAUUAUUUAAACAUAUUGUUUAUUUCUGUAAAUUAUUACAUAUAAAAUAAAAUAAAAUUAUAUAUGUA
Long non-coding RNA from Dendroctonus ponderosae (mountain pine beetle), 586 nucleotides. RefSeq lists it as uncharacterized. The transcript is spliced from 2 exons. The record is from RefSeq and is a predicted model, not a curated record. Lineage: Eukaryota; Metazoa; Arthropoda; Insecta; Coleoptera; Curculionidae.